Molecule: ribosomal RNA, 487 nt
Filed under: uncultured bacterium
Lineage: Bacteria
Description: bacterial SSU rRNA
Rfam family: Bacterial small subunit ribosomal RNA
Source: RNAcentral
GGCUCAGGAUGAACGCUGGCGGCGUGCUUAACACAUGCAAGUCGAACGAAGAAGAGUUGAAUGAGAGCUUCGGCAGGAUUUCUUCUCAUCUUAGUGGCGGACGGGUGAGUAACGCGUGGGUAACCUGCCUUGUACAGGGGGAUAACACUUAGAAAUAGGUGCUAAUACCGCAUAUGCGCACAGUAUCGCAUGAUACAGUGUGGAAAACUCUGGUGGUACAAGAUGGACCCGCGUCUGAUUAGCUAGUUGGUGAGGUAACGGCCUACCAAGGCGACGAUCAGUAGCCGGCCUGAGAGGGUGACCGGCCACAUUGGGACUGAGACACGGCCCAAACUCCUACGGGAGGCAGCAGUGGGGAAUAUUGCACAAUGGGGGAAACCCUGAUGCAGCAACGCCGCGUGAGUGAAGAAGUAUUUCGGUAUGUAAAGCUCUAUCAGCAGGGAAGAAAAUGACGGUACCUGACUAAGAAGCCCCGGCUAACUACGUG